GAGUUUGAUCCUGGCUCAGGAUGAACGCUAGCUACAGGCUUAACACAUGCAAGUCGAGGGGCAGCGGGGAGGAUGCUUGCAUUCUCUGCCGGCGACCGGCGCACGGGUGAGUAACGCGUACCGAACCUGCCUCAUACUCGGGAAUAGCCUUGCGAAAGUAAGAUUAAUGCCCGGUGUUCCGCGAGGGCCGCAUGGCCUUUUCGGCAAAGUUAUUUACGGUAUGAGAUGGCGGUGCGUCCCAUUAGCUUGUUGGCGGGGUAACGGCCCACCAAGGCGACGAUGGGUAGGGGUUCUGAGAGGAAGGUCCCCCACAUGGGAACUGAGACACGGUCCAAACUCCUACGGGAGGCAGCAGUGAGGAAUAUUGGUCAAUGGGCGAAAGCCUGAACCAGCCAAGUAGCGUGCAGGAUGACGGCCCUCUGGGUUGUAAACUGCUUUUAGUCGGGAAUAAAAUGCGGCACGUGUGCCGCUUCGCAUGUACCGUCAGAAAAAGGACCGGCUAAUUCCGUGCCAGCAGCCGCGGUAAUACGGAAGGUCCAGGCGUUAUCCGGAUUUAUUGGGUUUAAAGGGAGCGCACGCGGACUUUUAAGUCAGCUGUAAAUUCGGUGGCUCACCAUCGCAUGCAGUGAAACUGGAGGUCUUGAGUGUACACAGGGAUGCUGGAAUCAUGGUGUAGCGGUGAAAUGCUCAGAUAUCAUGAAGAACUCCAAUCGCGAAGGCAGGCAUCCGGGGUACAACUGACGCUGAGGCUCGAAAGUGCGGGUAUCANACAGGAUUAGAUACCCUGGUAGUCCGCACGGUAAACGAUGGAUACUCGCGGUGUGCGAUAUAAUGUGCGCCGCCAAGCGAAAGCGUUAAGUAUCCCACCUGGGGAGUACGCCGGCAACGGUGAAACUCAAAGGAAUUGACGGGGGCCCGCACAAGCGGAGGAACAUGUGGUUUAAUUCGAUGAUACGCGAGGAACCUUACCCGGGCUUGAACUCGGCAGGAAGGAUGCAGAGACGCAUUCGUCUUCGGACCUGCCGGGAGGUGCUGCAUGGUUGUCGUCAGCUCGUGCCGUGAGGUGUCGGCUUAAGUGCCAAAACGAGCGCAACCCCUAUCCUCGUUUGCCAUCAGGUAAUGCUGGGCACUCCGGGGACACUGCCAUCGUAAGAUGUGAGGAAGGCGGGGAUGACGUCAAAUCAGCACGGCCCUUACGUCCGGGGCUACACACGUGUUACAAUGGGCGGUACAGAGGGCAGCCACCUGGCGACAGGGCGCCAAUCCUCAAAGCCGUUCUCAGUUCGGACUGGAGUCUGCAACCCGACUCCACGAAGCUGGAUUCGCUAGUGAUCGCGCAUCAGCCAUGGCGCGGUGAAUACGUUCCCGGGCCUUGUACACACCGCCCGUC
RNAcentral lists this ribosomal RNA (1390 nucleotides) under uncultured bacterium. RNAcentral describes it as "bacterial SSU rRNA". It matches the Rfam family "Bacterial small subunit ribosomal RNA". The record is from RNAcentral.